UCUGGAGCAAUUUCCGCCAUCUUUUUUCAAAUAAUUCUUCAGUCCAUGACCUAUAUAUGCAUUUACGAAGUUUUUUCAUGAAUGUAUCGUGCCACGGGCUCUGAUAAUCAAGAUGCCUAGGGAUCUUUUCCAGUACAUUCCACAGGUGGAAAAAAUGAUGAGUGGGGAUCUUUUCCAGUACAUUCCACAGGUGGAAAAAAUGAUGAGUGUCGGGAAAGACAACUGGAACAGCUGCCUUGAUGGCAUCAUUUUGGUCAGUAAGUAUGAUUCUAGGACUUUCUUUCCCCAUUGCCAAACGCCAUGUUUGCAUCAACCAAACAAAAGUAUGCACAGUUUGAU
RNAcentral lists this long non-coding RNA (339 nucleotides) under Olea europaea (common olive). RNAcentral's name for it is "long non-coding RNA (OEUR_LNC004556)". Lineage: Eukaryota; Viridiplantae; Streptophyta; Magnoliopsida; Lamiales; Oleaceae. The record is from RNAcentral.